This 228-nucleotide unclassified non-coding RNA is filed under the name uncultured Ascomycota. Its description in RNAcentral is "sequence contains ITS1". The record is from RNAcentral. Lineage: Eukaryota; Fungi; Ascomycota.
AAAAAUGGACCCGGUCUGAAAAGAUCGACCCUGAAAAUACCGAGACUCUCCCCGGCUUGCCGGUGGAGGUGUCGACGUGUUAACCAAUUGUUGAAACUUCUAAUUUUUGCUUCGGCAGCGCCUUCCUCCGGGAGGGGUAAGGCUGCCAGAAGCCCAUUAUAAAACCAGUUGAUGAAAUGUCAUGCUGUCUGAUACUUCCUUAGUAUUUGAGAAAUCAAAUCACUGUUA